UCCAGUAUCAUAAUAGUAACAAAUAUUAACUGAUACAGAGUAGUAAAACAGAGGUGUAAAACAGAGAAAAAAAAACAAAUAAAUUUCGCCGUCAUGGUUGUAGCUCCGUCAAUUCACAAUCCAUAAACGGAGAAGAUUAUAACUACAACCAUAACAAUCUAACAACAUCAAUAUAGUUUGAGUUUUUUUGCAGGGAAAAUAAUAAAGAAGGAGUGAAAAACAAAACAAACGCAACUAUUCCAUUGCAGAUCGUGAUCUCUGAUUGCUAUACCACCGACGGGAAUCUCCGUUCACACAGUCGAAGCUCCGGCGAAAUCACCACAACCGCUCGCAACCUCACGCCGAUUCGACGAACCGCCUGCACCACAUCUGCGUUCAGCACCGUCGAGAGUCAUCUCGACGCCAACAAGCAAACAACUCCCUCCCUCGAUGGCUCCGCGUGACCGCGUGCAUCCGAUCCUCCCCGCCGAUCCUUUCUCCGAUCAACACUCCGACCGCCGAUUGCCCUUCGUCCGCCGCAAUCAGGUAAGUAUCUUCUUUUCCCUUUUUAUGUUUCUGUGAGAAUACAAUAUGUGUGUUUGUUGUUCGUACGAAUCAAGAAAUUCUUGGGGAAGUUGAAUCUGAGAGAGAUAUGAAGAAGAGCUUACAAGAAUGAAGGAGAAUGGGCAUUGUGAGAGAAGAAAAGAGGUUGAGGUUUUUUGGAUACCUCUGAUGAGACGGAAAAGGCAUGAGAAGGAAAAAGAAAUAAGAGAAAGAAAGAGUGUGAGGCAAAGAAAUGGAGAGGGAAUGGAUUGGAGAUAAGGUUGAAUUUGUUUUUCGGGUAAGAGAGUAGCCCCACGUGUCAAUUUUUUGUUGGUUAUUGUUGGAAACAAGCCAAAGAUGCAAAGAUGCUAUCAGCCAAGAGGCAACGCCUCCUACCUUCAACAGGUUGUGAGUUGCUGAACGCGAUUUGAUACAAACGGAUGAAGGUUGAAUUCAGUAGAGGCUAUGUGAUCCAAAGCUGAUGAAGGUCGAACAUGAUUUUGAUAACUGUUGUGUUGUAGAAUGACACCACACAAGAUAAAUGUUUCAAGAACAGAUUGAGAUUGUGCAAGAACAUAUACAAUAACUGGAGACCACCAAUUCUGAAGAUAACAGCAUGCCAUCAUCAGACAUACUGAUAUUGUAAAUUCCCCUUAUAAUUGAUUUCUUUGUUUUUUUUUAAAUGCUAGAUGAAAAAAUUGCUGAACAUUUUAUCAUAAAUAACUAUAAUAUGUAGUGGCUUUCCUGUUAUAAUUGACAAGUAUAUGUUUAGUAAUGUGAAUAGUUCCAUAUUUUUAUGAUUAGAGAGGAUUUCUAUUAAUCUGUCUAUUUUCCAUUUGUAAGACACUGUUUGUUUGUUUUUUUACUCAAUUUGAUUUUCAAUUUUGCUAUAGAUACAGUUUGUAAAUUUUUUUACUGCUUUUUUUUUCAUAAUCCACUAAAAGUAUGUGGUUGAUGUCAAACAAAUAAUAGGUUAAUUCACCUCAUUAUAUGGUUAAUGCAUUGUUAAAAGUUUGUUUGAUAUAAUAAAUUUUUAUUUUGUAUAAUCAUUGAAAAGUGCAACGGUUAACUACUUUCAAAUACAUGGUUAAUUCAAUUAGUAUGAUGUUAAUGAGUUACUCUGAUACUUUGUUAAAAGUGGUUAACAAUAAUGUAAUUUUGUGGUAAGUAAUCACAUAUUGAUAUGGAUUAACCAAUUACUUGAAGGUAAUUAACAAUGUAAGUUCGACUUUUAACUUUAAUUGGUCUUUAUUUUUUGUAGUGUCUGUUCUUUACACCUCACACUAUAGAAAAAUGGUAUUUUUAUUAGACAUGCUGCUAUUUAUCCCACUACUUCAAUUUCAUAAGAAGACUAGAAACCAAUGCUAUGAUAGAAACUAACAUGAUAUAGAAUGAAAUAAUCCUGCACCUCCCAAUGCUAAAAUAAUUUUUUUUUCCAAACAAAUUUUACUAUAAAGAACUUCCCUCUAACUUUCUCUAUUUAUUCUAAACAAAAACUUAGAUAAUAUACUAUACUAUAAUUAUCACUAAACUGCUAAUAAUAUAAUAAUAAUUGUCAUUUUUUCUUGCAAUAAUAAUAAUUAUCACUUUUUUUUUUAAUAGGCAAUUGAUAUAUACCACUUAAAUAAACAUAACUGCUUAUAAAAUUAAAUUGUAUUGAGAAGGAGAAAAUGAAGAGGACAAUUAAUUAAAAAAAUAAUCAAGUGUUUAUAAUUUACUUU
This is a long non-coding RNA of Vicia villosa (hairy vetch), 2243 nucleotides long. RefSeq lists it as uncharacterized. The transcript is spliced from 3 exons. The record is from RefSeq and is a predicted model, not a curated record. Lineage: Eukaryota; Viridiplantae; Streptophyta; Magnoliopsida; Fabales; Fabaceae.